RNAcentral lists this long non-coding RNA (1134 nucleotides) under Betta splendens (Siamese fighting fish). Its description in RNAcentral is "lncRNA (ENSBSLG00000017510.1)". Lineage: Eukaryota; Metazoa; Chordata; Actinopteri; Anabantiformes; Osphronemidae. The record is from RNAcentral.
GCCAACUGGAACAGCUGUGGUGGGAUGCAACAGCCUCCAUGAGGAUGAAGCUGCGGAGAGAGAGAUGAGGGUGAUCAUAUGUAGAAGCUAGGAGUCUAAUCACUAACUAAAACUACCAAACCCAGCAGAACAGUAAUGCAUCACACAUCUUUACAAUAUUUGUGCAAAGCCACUGACAUGGCCCCAGAUGUUAUACUGAACAUAUUUACAUGCAGACAUUUACAUACUGCAAGUUUUUCUUCUUGGUAAUACAUUACAGUCAUAAUAUUUAAGUUCAAAGGCCCAUGAUGAUCUUUAUAAAUGACCAUUUUGGUUUGCACUUUUUUUUAGAGACGCUGGUGUCCACCAGAAAUUAGCUGAGUUUUGCCCUUAACGUCGUGACCGUGGUUGUUAAACAGGGAGAAGACGCUAUCUUGCCCUGCUCCAUCAGCAGCAAGGAGAACAUUGUACGAGGACUUUUUUUACUUCUGCUUUUUAGAACGUCUUUUCAAAGAUCGGUCACAAGAACGCUUAGGUGCUCCACAAAACCCUACUGUCGCGAUAGCUGACGUGACAGAGGCAGGCGUUCUGCUGCAGUGUGUGGUUCAGUGUGCGUUUCCAGAGCCGACGCUGCAGUGGAAGGAUUGUGGAGGAAACCUCCUUCCUGCUGAGGAGCCACAGGUCUCAAAGAGAAGAGGCCACUAUGACGUCAUCCUCCAAACGACUGUGACCAGGACGACGAGCAACUGUUUCUGCUGUGAAGUCAAACAGGAUGAGAUCGGCCACGUUGUUAAUAAAAACAUCACCGAAAUGUUAGUUCCCUUUGUAAAUCUUAAAUAAAGCAGACACAGAUCAGUUGAGACUCUCUUCAGGAUUUUACUUGCAAGGGGUGAGCAGUUUACAGCAAAGGCAACUUCCUCUAACUAAAGAGAAGACAAGGAUUCAGCUCUUAAUAUGUAUUGCAUUCUGGGAGGUGCAUAGUCAGAGUACGUGGGAAAUAUUUCCUGCACAAAGUAUUCAUUGGGCUCAUCAGAUAAGGAUGCUACACACCAGUACUCCCUAUUUCUUGCAGAGCAGAAAGUAGGAAACUUCAAAGCUAUAGCACAGCUAACAAAUUUACAGCAGAUCAGCAAAAUAAACUCCAACAAUGUUUCA